GGAGUGGGCAGGACGCAGGAAAGCCGCAGUGGGUAGGGCCUCAGCCUGAGUUAGUAACAGCGAAGCUCUCACCAUCUCUCGGUGCUGGCAGGAUGGAGGGACAAAGGGAGGGAGUGGUUUCCAGAACCUGGGAAGACACAGUCACAGAGAGGAGACCAUCUGGAGAAGAGCAGUGACCUCUGGAUACAGGACACAGAGAGUCUGAGGCAACCACCCAGGGAGUGAGCACGGAGGUUAGGACCUGCCCCACUCGCCGUCCUCCUCGGACCUGCUGCGCUCCCCUUGGCCACACCCAACCAGAGACCAGGGGGUGAGGGAGCCUCUGAUGUGGCAGACAGGAAGAUCAGACCUGAGCUAACAUCUGCUGCCAAUCCUCCUCUUUUUUGCUGAGGAAGACUGGCCCUGAGCUAACAUCUGUCCCAUCUUCCUCUACUUUGUAUAUUGGACGCCUCAUGGCCUCAGGAGCAGUGCAUAUGUCCACACCUGGGAUCCGAACUGGUGAACCCCAGGGCCACUGAAGAAGAACUGGGAACUUAACCGCUGUGCCACCGGGCCAGCUCUAAUUUCAAUUUUUAAAAAUACUGCAUUGAAAUAUUAUUUACCACGACUGAUGAAUUUUUUGGUGCUCCAUUCAAUUUUGCAUCAGAAGCUCGUGAGACUCGCCUCCCUCUCCUCCUGGCCCUGCUCCCAGAAGGGAAGGGGUGUUUAUUGCAGCCCUAUGGGUGCAGCUUCUGGUUAUGGGAACAGGCUUUGGGAUGGGACAGACUUGGAUCUGAAUCUCAGUCUCAGCUGUGUGACCCCGGACAGGGCGCUAACCUCUCUGAGCCUCGGGUUUCAGAUAAUAAAUCCCUAUUGGUAGGGUUUGCUGUGAGGGCGAAGUUAACCAGCAUGAUGUAAAUACAGUGGGGAACUCAGCGCCUCCUACAGGAUGAGUGUUCAGUAAAGGGCUGCUGUUUCAUGACGCCCCCUCCGGGCACAGUGCCAGGCACAUUUGCAAAGGGCAUCAGGCUCGGAGCAGACAGGCAGGGCUGCCCCGCCAGGGCCCCACCCCGGGCCUUUUGUUCCCUGC
Molecule: long non-coding RNA, 1069 nt
Filed under: Equus caballus (horse)
Lineage: Eukaryota; Metazoa; Chordata; Mammalia; Perissodactyla; Equidae
Description: lncRNA (ENSECAG00000047876.1)
Source: RNAcentral